UAUUCGAUAAAUACAAGAUAUUAUCACAUAGCGGAAGUAUCUACUAUACCUACACAACGCUUAUUAGAACAAGUCAAAGUACAAAAUAUAGUAAAUAUUUCAUAUUCAAAUCAAAUGGUACACAAGAUCAACGCAAAAUCAAAAUGACUAUUUUUUUUAAU
This is a long non-coding RNA of Maniola jurtina (meadow brown), 161 nucleotides long. RefSeq lists it as uncharacterized. The transcript has 4 exons. The record is from RefSeq and is a predicted model, not a curated record. NCBI's taxonomy places the organism in Eukaryota, Metazoa, Arthropoda, Insecta, Lepidoptera, Nymphalidae.